AACGAACGCUGGCGGCAGGCCUAACACAUGCAAGUCGAACGCCCUAGCAAUAGGGAGUGGCGCACGGGUGCGUAACGCGUGGGAAUAUGCCCUUCACUGCGGAAUAACGUUUGGAAACGAACGCUAAUACCGCAUAAUGACUCCGGUCCAAAGAUUUAUCGGUGAAGGAUUAGCCCGCGUUAGAUUAGCUAGUUGGUGAGGUAAUGGCUCACCAAGGCGACGAUCUAUAGCUGGUCUGAGAGGAUGAUCAGCCACACUGGGACUGAGACACGGCCCAGACUCCUACGGGAGGCAGCAGUGGGGAAUAUUGGACAAUGGGGGCAACCCUGAUCCAGCCAUGCCGCGUGUGUGAAGAAGGCCU
RNAcentral lists this ribosomal RNA (361 nucleotides) under uncultured bacterium. RNAcentral describes it as "bacterial SSU rRNA". It matches the Rfam family "Bacterial small subunit ribosomal RNA", at positions 29 to 417 of the family's 1533-position model. The record is from RNAcentral.